This 465-nucleotide ribosomal RNA is filed under the name uncultured bacterium. RNAcentral describes it as "partial 16S ribosomal RNA". It matches the Rfam family "Bacterial small subunit ribosomal RNA", at positions 28 to 507 of the family's 1533-position model. The record is from RNAcentral.
GACGAACGCUGGCGGCGUGCUUAACACAUGCAAGUCGAACGGUAAGGCCCUGCUUGCCGGGUACUCGAGUGGCGAACGGGUGAGUAACACGUGGGUGGUCUGCCCUCCACUUCGGGAUAAGCCUGGGAAACUGGGUCUAAUACCGGAUAGGAGCCAUUCUUAGUGUGUUGGUUGGAAAGUUUUUUCGGUGUAGGGUGGGCUGGCGGGCUAGCAGCUUGUUGGUGGGGUAAUGGCCUACCGAGGCGGCGACGGGUAGCCGGCCUGAGAGGGUGGACGGCCACAGUGGGACUGAGAAACGGCCCAGACACCUACGGGAGGCAGAAGUGGGGAAUAUGGCACAAUGGGCGAAAGCCUGAUGCAGAGACGCCGCGUGGGGGAGGACGGCCUUCGGGUUGUAAAAGCAUUUCGCUAGGGACGAAGCUUUUUGUGACGGUACCUAGAUAAGAAGCACCGGCUAACUACGUG